UGGCGGCGUGCCUAACACAUGCAAGUCGAACGCGAAAGGGGCUUCGGCCCUGAGUAGAGUGGCGAACGGGUGAGUAACACGUGGGUGACCUACCUUCGAAUGGGGGACAACGUCCCGAAAGGGACGCUAAUACCGCAUAACAUCCUGCCUUUGAACAGGUGGAGAUCAAAGCUGGGGAUCGCAAGACCUGGCGUUUGAAGAGGGGCCCGCGUCCGAUUAGCUAGUUGGUGAGGUAACGGCUCACCAAGGCGACGAUCGGUAGCCGGCCUGAGAGGGCGGACGGCCACACUGGGACUGAGAUACGGCCCAGACUCCUACGGGAGGCAGCAGUGGGGAAUUGUUCACAAUGGGCGCAAGCCUGAUGACGCAACGCCGCGUGGAGGAUGAAGGUCUUCGGAUUGUAAACUCCUGUUGCCCGGGACGGAAAGCUUCGGCCUAACACGUCGAAGUCUGACGGUACCGGGUGAGGAAGCCCCGGCUAACUCUGUGCCAGCGGCCGCGGUAAUACAGAGGGGGCAAGCGUUGUUCGGAAUUACUGGGCGUAAAGGGCGCGUAGGCGGCCUUCUAAGUCGAACGUGAAAUCCCUGGGCUCAACCCAGGAACUGCGUCCGAGACUGGGAGGCUUGAAUCCGGGAGAGGGAUGCGGAAUUCCAGGUGUAGCGGUGAAAUGCGUAGAUAUCUGGAGGAACACCGGUGGCGAAGGCGGCAUCCUGGACCGGCAUUGACGCUGAGGCGCGAAAGCCAGGGGA
This 749-nucleotide ribosomal RNA is filed under the name uncultured soil bacterium. Its description in RNAcentral is "bacterial SSU rRNA". It matches the Rfam family "Bacterial small subunit ribosomal RNA", at positions 37 to 767 of the family's 1533-position model. The record is from RNAcentral.